CCAGAAUAGAAAAUAACAUCGUAUAGCCUGAUUAUUUCUUAAAGAAUGUUAUGUGUGGCCAUGGCACCACAAACUACUUUAUUACACAGUUACAAAAUACUUAAAACUUCUAUCAAGAACGUAGACAGAAAGAAAAAGUGGUAAUAAAUAGCCAUGAAAUAGACAUGAAGGAAACGGUUACAGAUGGAGCAACUCGCUUUACUCUUUGUAACUUGAACCGAAACGAAGGCGCAUGGAAGACAUACAGUGUGUGUCCGUGUAACCUCAGCUUCAACUGUGGUCCAGGAUUGACAAUGAAUGGCCAAUGGCCGAUACGACGUCACUUCAAAAACCAAUAAACGUUGGGUGGGCGGGACAUCCCACUUUACACCGAGAAGGAAUCUAGCGAGCCAGAUCUUUCACUCGACCGUCAUAAACGUUAGUAGCGCACUAGAUUUGGGUCUCCAGACUGGUUUUGAAAUAAAGUUGAUAAAGCGUAUAAAAAGUCACCAGAUUGAUAGAAUUCUAAGCAAAUGUUUCUAACCGCGGAAAUCCGGAGAUCCCAUAGAGGGAUGCUCGAGUUAUGUUCAGGCGCUCGGUGGCUGAUCUUCAUCUGUAUCUACUUUCUGUGGCUACACAAAGUCGAGGGCAAUGACUGUUCUGCCAAGUCUGAUCCGAAUGGCAUGACGUUUCAUCUACUUGAGGACGUAGCUUCCUGUAAUGAAUACAAUUGGUGUGUUGAUAAUACUGUGGUGGCCAAUGAAGAUCAUUUUAAUGACAUGAUGGUUCUCAGCAAAGAUCGUCGUAGCAUCACUUUUAAAACCUGUCCUAACAAUCUUACAUACAAAAAUGUCUGUAACGGGAAAAUCAUCAACUGCCCUUCCUGCCCCACAACCCCAACUACAAAUGUGCCGUCCCCCCGGAACAGUGGACAUGCUGAUGGUGUUGUUGCGGUCAUAUUUGUUGUUCUCUUUUGUAACCUCAUCUUUAUGUUGUAGAAGAGAAUCUGACAUCAAGAAGAUAUGUGAGAAGCCUGGUGCAGAUGUGACCUCAGCCAAAGAAUACCUCCUGAAGAAAACACUCUAAUAAAGCUGCGUGUUACUGUUUUUACUCUUUGGAUCAUAAUAGUUUUUUUUUUAAAGAACAUCCAUCCAUCCAUCUUCUAUACCGCUUAUCCUUUCUUCAGGGUCACGGGGAAACCGGAGCCUAUCCCAGGGAGCAUCGGGCACAAGGCGGGUUACACCCUGGACAGUGUGCCAAUCCAUCACAGGGCACAAUCACAUGAACACUCACACACCCAUUCAUGCACUGUGGACACUUUAGACACGCCAAUCAGUCCAGAUUCCAUAUAUAUAUAUAUAUAUAUAUAUAUAUAUAUAUAUAUAUAUAUAUAUAUAUAUAUAUAUAGAUAGAUAUAUAGAUAUAUAUAUAGAUAGAUAUAGAUAUAGAUAUAUAGAUAUAGAUACAUAUAUCAAAGCAAACCAAUGACUACAUUUCCCAUCCUGCACUGCAGACUACAAACAUGGCCACCAUGGACUACACUUCCCACACACCUUCACCUUCUCUGGAAUUCUAAUCACACACACCUCUUGCCAAUCUCACACUCACUCACUCAGCUAUAUAAGAGACUUUUUUGAACACCAUCACUUUGCGAAAUUUGUGUGUUUCACCAUACCAAGCAUUCGUACCCUGUGCAUUUGCAUCCGUCCUAAACUCCAUUACGUGGAUUACGUGACAGUUGAGGACCUCUGAUUUGGCCAGCACAUAAUUUAAUUAAUUGAGAUGGAUUGUAUAGCCAAAAUGAUUACAUGUAUAUUCUAUAUACAUGAUGUCUACUGCUCUACCAUAAACUCAACUACUAGGUCUCCAUGUUUCUUAUAAUUUAAUUUUCGUUUUUGAGAUAUUGUAAUACGCAAUCUGUAUACUCCCAUACAUGCCACCAGGGGCCAGCCUUUACCUGAGUUUUGAAACUCUGUGAUGGUUAUUCUCAUAUUGUUCACUUUAAAAGCACAUGGGUUUUUUAAAGAUGCUUAGCUUUGGAGGGAGACAACAAAGGAAGAAGUUCUACACGGGAACAGGGGUAGUCCAAGGUGGAAUUGUUUCCCAAAAGACAUACUAUACACUGUACACUUACACUAUGCACUAUACACUGGCAUCUAGUGUAUGAAUUUCAGAAGGGUGGGAUCAUCUCAAAUGGCUCACUUUCGGUAUUGUACUAUUCGGAGGUAUAUGCUGUUUCCUGGUCGAGGGCAAAUUAUGUCAAACGCACCUAAUGCGAUGGCGCUAGCAUUAGCGAAAUGGCCCAAAAGAUAACAAAAAUGAAUUGGUACAUUUUACUGUUUAUGUUAAUGUUUCCUUGUAUGCCCAACAAGACCUCAGUCACCGUUAGACGGAGGCAUAAUUGUCUCCGCAGGCGAAUUUUGCUUGCACAAUUUAAAAUCAACAUAUUAAGCUAUGGUUUUGACUAUGGCUGCUGGCAAUGUAAACAUCUUUUUUCACAUUCAGCAUCUGUGCCUGAUAAAGACCCUCCCAUCUGCUACAUAAGGAAAGCUGUGACCAUUGAGUGCAUGAAUUGUCCAUCAUUCCACGCUUCGUUUUUUUCGGUUGAAUGAGUGCACCAUCCAGGAACUUAAAGAACUCAGUGUGAACACACCAAUCACACUAUUUAUAUUACAAAAGUGUCUGAUUUGGGACGCACCUACAGAUUUGUCGGCCUUGUUCCUGCUUGCCAUUCUGAUAGCGACCCUGGACUCUUUUUUGACUGUUGCUGUUUAAUAAACUCUCCACAAAUGAACCCUUACUCUGUGCCCGAG
Long non-coding RNA from Ictalurus punctatus (channel catfish), 2792 nucleotides. The record is from Ensembl. NCBI's taxonomy places the organism in Eukaryota, Metazoa, Chordata, Actinopteri, Siluriformes, Ictaluridae.